Molecule: long non-coding RNA, 1054 nt
Organism: Trifolium pratense (red clover)
Lineage: Eukaryota; Viridiplantae; Streptophyta; Magnoliopsida; Fabales; Fabaceae
Exons: 2
Source: RefSeq, a predicted model, not a curated record
UUUUCUCUCUCUCAUACACACUAAUAAAUGUGCCUCACUCUCAGCUUGCUAUAUAUAAGAAGGUAUGUGAGGGUUAGGGUUUUCAUCCAAAGGGUGAGAGUGAGUUCAAGAUAUAGCUAGAGAGUAUUAUUUGAGGGGAAUGUUGGCUGGCUCGAGGCUUUUGAGUUUCACAAAAGAAGUUCAUUCUUAAUUGUAUGAACUAUAAGGCUUCGGACCAGGCUUCAUUCCCCUCAAAAUCUUAAUUGUUUAUUCUCUUGUUCAUCUUGUGUGUGUGUGUGUGUUUUUCCCUAUAGUAUACAUGAAAUCAUCCAUAAAAGAGAAGCAAGAGUUAGGAUGAGAGGAACGUUGUCUGGCUCGAGGUGAUAGAGAUGAUGGAAGAGUAGUUAACUCAUUCAUCACUAACUCCCAAUCUCGGACCAGGCUUCAUUCCCCUCAACCAACUUUUGCAAGCUAUAUACUUUCCUUCAUUUUCAUAAUUUCAUAUCAUCAUCUUCUGUUGGUAAGCUUUUGUACUGAUGAUGAUCAAGUAUUGAUUGAAGGUAGUAAGUAGCAGGUGAGAUGUGUUGGAUUGGAUCAAUUAACAAGAAAAAGUAGUGAUGAGAAUCAGGAGAAGCUAUUUCUUAGCUAUAGCUAGGUAUCUGUGUUCUGUGAUCACCAUCAUCAUCAUCAUCAUCUUGUUAGUAAUUUCCAAGAUAUGAGUAGAGUAUGAAUAUGACCAGCUUCUAUUGUGAUGCAAUGACUAGUUCAGAUAGAUAGAUAUAUCUGGAUUUAUGUAUAUAAGAUGAUGCAAGAGAAAUUAAUAGUGUAAUUAAAGAAGAUGAACAUUAUGUACAGUACUGCUUGUUUCUGGAUGUUGUUCUAUUUUCUAUGUAUAAGUAUGUGUUUUAGUGUAAUGUAUUAAUGAAGCUUUUAAAGUUGUUGAAAAUUCAGAAGCUAUGUUUGGAAAAAGCUCAUAUCUCAGCAAUGUUAUCAGCUUCCUCAUUGAGUCAUAGUUAUAGUGAUCAGAUAUGUUUUGGCAUAUUGAAAUUGAAUGAAUGAAAACAAUUUCUUUGUU